UACGGAGGAGGCAAGCGUUGCUCGGAAUCACUGGGCGUAAAGGGUGCGUAGGCGGAUUGCUAAGUCAGGGGUGAAAUCCUGGAGCUCAACUCCAGAACUGCCUUUAAUACUGGCGAUCUUGAGUCCGGGAGAGGUGAGUGGAACUCCUAGUGUAGAGGUGGAAUUCGUAGAUAUUAGGAAGAACACCAGUGGCGAAGGCGGCUCACUGGUCCGGUACUGACGCUGAGGUGCGAAAGCGUGGGGAGCAAACAGGG
RNAcentral lists this ribosomal RNA (254 nucleotides) under uncultured bacterium. Its description in RNAcentral is "partial 16S ribosomal RNA". It matches the Rfam family "Bacterial small subunit ribosomal RNA", at positions 524 to 777 of the family's 1533-position model. The record is from RNAcentral.